This 56-nucleotide transfer RNA is filed under the name Aelurostrongylus abstrusus (cat lungworm). RNAcentral describes it as "tRNA-Tyr". The record is from RNAcentral. Lineage: Eukaryota; Metazoa; Nematoda; Chromadorea; Rhabditida; Metastrongylidae.
UUUUAAUUUAAAAUAUUAGAUUGUAAAUCUAAAGACUUUUAUUCUUGGUUUUUUUA